AUUGAACGCUGGCGGCAUGCUUUACACAUGCAAGUCGAACGGUAACAGGCCGCAAGGUGCUGACGAGUGGCGAACGGGUGAGUAAUGCAUCGGAACGUGCCCAGUCGUGGGGGAUAACUACUCGAAAGAGUAGCUAAUACCGCAUACGAUCUAUGGAUGAAAGCGGGGGACCGUAAGGCCUCGCGCGAUUGGAGCGGCCGAUGUCAGAUUAGGUAGUUGGUGGGGUAAAGGCUCACCAAGCCAACGAUCUGUAGCUGGUCUGAGAGGACGACCAGCCACACUGGGACUGAGACACGGCCCAGACUCCUACGGGAGGCAGCAGUGGGGAAUUUUGGACAAUGGGGGCAAGCCUGAUCCAGCAAUGCCGCGUGCAGGAAGAAGGCCUUCGGGUUGGAAACUGCUUUUGUACGGAACGAAACGGCUCUGGUUAAUACCCGGGGCUAAUGACGGUACCGUAAGAAUAAGCACCGGCUAACUACGUG
RNAcentral lists this ribosomal RNA (482 nucleotides) under uncultured bacterium. Its description in RNAcentral is "partial 16S ribosomal RNA". It matches the Rfam family "Bacterial small subunit ribosomal RNA", at positions 30 to 507 of the family's 1533-position model. The record is from RNAcentral.